UUAAAUUUAGGCGUUUAAUAAAGUUGAAAUGAAAAAAAAAAGAAGUCAUAUAUUAACAUGAGAGUAAAGAAUCAAAGCCAACAGUGCUUCCUGUCUGCAUCAUUUUCAUCUCUGCGAAAUUAAAGCGUUGCUCGGUGCGCGGCGCAUCUGCACAGUUACCUUUCUACACAUCACGAGUGGCGUGUUUGAGUGACACUAAUCCAGAACUGGAUAAAACGAUGGAAAUAAAGCCAGCGCACACUGACGCCCUUGACCUAAAUAUUUACAAGAUAACAAUGAUCAGGUGAGCAUUCUCUCUGUCAGCGGUGAGAAUGAUACUGAGGCACAUGUUUUCAGUGUGUGUGAGGGUGGAAAUGUACAAAAGUGGUUUCUUAAAUAUAAAAAAAGGAAAUCACAGCAUGAUCUGAUGAAAUGAUAUUAUCUUACAAGGGAAACAGUGAUCCAAUUUGGACCCAACUUGCUGUAACCAGUGCUUUGAGUGGGAAUAAGUUCAGCAUUUUUCCAUUUGAUGGCAUGUGUUUUAUAUGCAAAGUGUUAAAAAUAUGUUUUAAUUUCCGAAGUUUGUGGUUCAUGUCCUCUUUGUGCAUGUUUAGAGUCAGGCUAACAUAACUUGGUUGUCUUCCUUUUACUCUGAUUUCCCUCAUUUAUCCAAAACUCAAACUAAUUUGACUUCACCUGAGCAAGGAAAGGGUCCUGGCACUCAGGUAAGAAGUCCUGGUAUGCAGUGGUGCAGCACCCCUAAGUGUGCAGGUUUACAUUUACAAGUGUUUUUGCAGUAAUGGAUCCUGGUCAGCUUUGCCCCUUUUAUAAAAAGCUGCACGGAGAAGCAGCAGGUUAUAGCUCGGCUAAGUGGAAGAUUAAUAUCUGUGUGUUGUGUCUGCAAAUAGUACAAAAACCAGUGGAAAUAUUCCCCGAGGAGUGUGUGGUUAAACGGAGAUUAGCCCCCUGGUCGGAACUCUCAAAAUCGGCUAAUUUACAUCGUAGAGUUGACCCCAUCUGCAGCGAACUGUCAGCCUAACUAGCCUGAAGCUCCUUCAGGCAGUUUCUCAUUAAAGGAGCAUCCACUGUGGCAAAUACACUUACUUGUGGGAUGUAACUCAGACAGCCCCACUUAAAAAUGCUGAAAUAUCCCUUUAACACACGUUUGCUCUGUGUAAGUCGACUGAAUAACACAUAACCAAAGCUAAAGUCAUGUUGAGCCUCUCAUCGUGACUGAACAUGAAGUUAUAAACUGUGAGGGCGCACCUAGCAAAACGCUUCAGUCGGAAGCCAAUGGGGUGCAUGCACAUGGAUUAUUCUUGUUUGCACUAUGUUCAGUAUACGAGCCUGAGGACAUCACCGAGCGUUCACCCAGGGAACGCACAUAGAAUCUAUAAGGAGAGAGGAAAGCUGGAUACACAAAGGCACACAGCGGACUCACAGAGAGGCCAGCACUGCCCAUUAAGAUCACGAAUAGCAGGUCAUGCCUGGAGGCAUCAGACCGGAGGAGGACGAGACUGCAGUAAAAACGAUGCAUACUAUCGAAGGAUGCUUUGCUACCUUUACUGUUCAUUUCCUAGAAACCUUCUCACUGAGUCUGAUGGGUGAAGUUUGUGAGGAUGUGAUUGUAAAUUUGUUCAAUCAAGUGAGAAGCCAGAUUACUCAAACAGUUUCUCAUGUUGAGUAAAAGAUCCGUUAUGGUGCACUCUAGUGGAACUGCAUGUACGCCAGUAUGCUAGAAAAGUCCAGAGGGUUAAAAUCAGGAGUGGUCAUACCGUGCACCUGAGCGUACCGACCCACUUAAAGCACUGGUUUUGAGCAUGAAUGGGAACAGAUACAUUCCUAUAUACAAUACGCAAUACUAUCAAUCCAUUUAUACCCAUAACAAGUUUCAGACACAGCUUCAAACUGUCAAACAAAUUGAUCGGGACAGGAUUUAUUUGGCUAGUCCGUUUAAUUUCAUGUACCAGAAGCUCUGUGGUCAAGGUCUCGAGUUAAAGUCUUAAAGCCAACACUGAAUUAGCAGUCUUUGACAUGAUCCCCUGUGGGUAAGCAGAAAUAGCAAGUGAGGGGUCAAAGGGCAAUUGUUUUUAGCCUUGUAUUGGCAAUUGAAGCCAUCCAGCUGAGCACACUUGUUCAGUAAUGGGUAAAACAAGCACCUGUUGUGUUUCAGCAAUGAAGAAACCUUCAAUAAAAGUGUCAAACUCAGACUGCCUUCAUGUGUAAACCCAAAAUACGUGAAAAUUAAGAGUUUCUUUUUAUGUAAGUACAUGCUACAUAGAAAAACCAGCCUGUGCCAGUGAAGCUGUCAUCUGUUU
Non-coding RNA from Xyrichtys novacula (pearly razorfish), 2297 nucleotides. Lineage: Eukaryota; Metazoa; Chordata; Actinopteri; Labriformes; Labridae. The record is from the annotation of a GenBank genome assembly.